RNAcentral lists this ribosomal RNA (489 nucleotides) under uncultured bacterium. Its description in RNAcentral is "partial 16S ribosomal RNA". It matches the Rfam family "Bacterial small subunit ribosomal RNA", at positions 28 to 523 of the family's 1533-position model. The record is from RNAcentral.
GAUGAACGCUGGCGGCGUGCCUAACACAUGCAAGUCGAGCGGAGAGAGACGAGUAUUCGUACAAAUCUCUCUUAGCGGCGGACGGGUGAGUAACACGUGAGUAACCUGCCUUCUUCUGGGGAAUAACACAGAGAAAUUUGUGCUAAUACCGCAUAAAGUCACGACUGGGCAUCCAGAUGUGACCAAAGGAGCAAUCCGGAGGAAGAUGGACUCGCGUCCGAUUAGGUAGUUGGUGAGGUAACGGCCCACCAAGCCUACGAUCGGUAGCCGAACUGAGAGGUUGAUCGGCCACAUUGGGACUGAGACACGGCCCAGACUCCUACGGGAGGCAGCAGUGGGGAAUAUUGGGCAAUGGGGGAAACCCUGACCCAGCAACGCCGCGUGAAGGACGAAGGCCUUCGGGUUGUAAACUUCUUUGAUCAGGGACGAAACAAAUGACGGUACCUGAGGAACAAGCCACGGCUAACUACGUGCCAGCCGCCGCAGUAA